RNAcentral lists this ribosomal RNA (507 nucleotides) under Triticum aestivum (bread wheat). RNAcentral describes it as "partial small subunit ribosomal RNA". The record is from RNAcentral. Lineage: Eukaryota; Viridiplantae; Streptophyta; Magnoliopsida; Poales; Poaceae.
AUGGAAGGGAGGCGACGUGGCGGAGAUCACGUAGCUCGAAGGAGGCCCGCAUCCACUGAUGACAUCCCCGAGAUCUCCCCGCUCGGACUCCCACCCCAAGUCGCCGCCUCCCGUGAACCCGAUCCGAUGAGCGGGUGCACGCGGAUCAUCGGGCCGGAUCACAUGACCGACGCGCUCCAGCUCGUGCCCCCGUCCUUCGGUCCGUGCGCGGCCGCUCCCAGCCAGGCCGUGUGCUCCUGGUUUCCGACGUUCAUCGGGGCUCACGGUCACAGACUCUUGCGUGAUCUUCGUGACUUCGUGUCCGGCCUCGGCCUCCGCCCCGUGAGCCCAGGGGCCGGAGGAUCGCCCCCUUUUGCCUUUGCGUGGGGGCUAGUCAAGCACAUCCAACCCCGUACCCGUGCAAGAGUGCGAGUGCAACCACGGUCUGGAUCCAUCGAUCCCUGUGAUUUCGGGCAAUCUUCCUCUGGCCGUGCGUCAAAUUUUGUAAAAUUUGAUCAACUUUAUUGA